This 271-nucleotide ribosomal RNA is filed under the name uncultured bacterium. RNAcentral's name for it is "partial 16S ribosomal RNA". It matches the Rfam family "Bacterial small subunit ribosomal RNA", at positions 524 to 794 of the family's 1533-position model. The record is from RNAcentral.
UACAGAGGGUGCAAGCGUUAAUCGGAAUUACUGGGCGUAAAGCGCGCGUAGGUGGUUUGUUAAGUUGGAUGUGAAAUCCCCGGGCUCAACCUGGGAACUGCAUUCAAAACUGACAAGCUAGAGUAUGGUAGAGGGUGGUGGAAUUUCCUGUGUAGCGGUGAAAUGCGUAGAUAUAGGAAGGAACAUCAGUGGCGAAGGCGAGUCUCUGGACAUUUCCUGACGCUGAGGCACGAAAGCCAAGGGAGCAAACGGGAUUAGAUACCCGGGUAGU